Molecule: long non-coding RNA, 100 nt
Organism: Lontra canadensis (Northern American river otter)
Lineage: Eukaryota; Metazoa; Chordata; Mammalia; Carnivora; Mustelidae
Exons: 3
Source: RefSeq, a predicted model, not a curated record
AGGGAGGGAAAAAAGUGAAACAGUGAUUUCCAAUAUGAAGAGCGGUCUGUGCUAACUUGUAAGGUUAUAAAGCAAGAACAGAAAGCAAAACUAUCAAUGA